RNAcentral lists this long non-coding RNA (655 nucleotides) under Mustela putorius furo (domestic ferret). RNAcentral describes it as "lncRNA (ENSMPUG00000026558.1)". The record is from RNAcentral. Lineage: Eukaryota; Metazoa; Chordata; Mammalia; Carnivora; Mustelidae.
CAGGCAUAAGACUACUUCUGUUGAUGAUGAAGUUUUUCCAUGAAUUGUUCAGACCUUUACUCAGGUGCACCACUGCUGUCCUUGAAGACCUCACAGAGGGCUGUCCUCCUACUUCUGAAGGAAGAAGCUCACAUAAGGUGCCUUCGUCCAUCCACUGCAUCCCUCCAAAGCCCUCUUGAGGGCAUGUUUUAUGCACACCAGGUCUGCAGAAACAUGAAGUUUGAUCCUUUAUGAGUGGAAAUGUUUGUUGUGGAUUCUUAAAGAGCAGCAGAGUUCCUGUCAGCUUGACCACUGGAAGAGCUCUCAAAUUCCCUGGAAUGAUGCCCAUUUCUCCUGGAAUUAGGGCUUGUUUACUUCACCCUUACCUGUUCACCCUUACCCGGACCACCUCUGGGCUAAAGCCAGCUGUCCUCUAGCUCUCUCUAGAUACUUCUGUCUUGGCUCCACAUCCAGCACUUUUUUGGCUUCAGAUCAAAAUUUCUCUCCAAGAAGCCUAAGUAAUCUUGACAUGUUCACUGUCCCCUCUUUACCGCCCUUGGUCUCUGAAUUGGCAUGCUUUUAUUUAUCAAGUCCCUGUACAUAGUACACAGCUCGGUUCCCCUGAGUCUGAUGUCUUCUUUCUGUUAGUCCAUUCUAAAUUCUUGACAUCUUUUUC